Molecule: ribosomal RNA, 467 nt
Filed under: uncultured bacterium
Lineage: Bacteria
Description: partial 16S ribosomal RNA
Rfam family: Bacterial small subunit ribosomal RNA
Source: RNAcentral
GACGAACGCUGGCGGCGUGCUUAACACAUGCAAGUCGAACGGAAAGGCCCUGCUUUUGUGGGGUGCUCGAGUGGCGAACGGGUGAGUAACACGUGAGUAACCUGCCCUUGACUUUGGGAUAACUUCAGGAAACUGGGGCUAAUACCGGAUAGGAGCUCCUGCUGCAUGGUGGGGGUUGGAAAGUUUCGGCGGUUGGGGAUGGACUCGCGGCUUAUCAGCUUGUUGGUGGGGUAGUGGCUUACCAAGGCUUUGACGGGUAGCCGGCCUGAGAGGGUGACCGGCCACAUUGGGACUGAGAGACGGCCCAGACUCCUACGGGAGGCAGAGUGGGGAAUAUUGCACAAUGGGCGGAAGCCUGAUGCAGCAACGCCGCGUGCGGGAUGACGGCCUUCGGGUUGUAAACCGCUUUCGCCUGUGACGAAGCGUGAGUGACGGUAAUGGGUAAAGAAGCACCGGCUAACUACGUG